RNAcentral lists this long non-coding RNA (203 nucleotides) under Elaeis guineensis (African oil palm). RNAcentral's name for it is "long non-coding RNA (EGUI_LNC048316)". The record is from RNAcentral. Lineage: Eukaryota; Viridiplantae; Streptophyta; Magnoliopsida; Arecales; Arecaceae.
CCACAUCUCUACAAUGAUGGAAGACCUCUAGACUCAAUAUUUAAUAAGGAGAUUUAUGUUUAGGUCUCUUCUAAAUCAACAGAUAUAAUAUCUAAUAAAUCAAGUUUAGGUUAGCACAUCCAUAUGUCUGACCAUCCUAGUCGAUGUGGGUGAACUUGAGUUAACAAAUAACCUAGUAUAAAACUAAAUCUUCCAAAAUGGCC